AUUGAACGCUGGCGGAAUGCUUUACACAUGCAAGUCGAACGGCAGCACGGGGGCAGCCCUGGUGGCGAGUGGCGAACGGGUGAGUAAUACAUCGGAACGUGCCCGGUCGUGGGGGAUAACGUAGCGAAAGUUACGCUAAUACCGCAUACGAUCUGAGGAUGAAAGCGGGGGACCUUCGGGCCUCGCGCGAUCGGAGCGGCCGAUGUCAGAUUAGGUAGUUGGUGGGGUAAAGGCCUACCAAGCCGACGAUCUGUAGCUGGUCUGAGAGGACGACCAGCCACACUGUGACUGAGACACGGCCCAGACUCCUACGGGAGGCAGCAGUGGGGAAUUUUGGACAAAGGGCGCAAGGCUGAUCUAGCCAUUCCGCGUGCAGGACGAAGGCCUUCGGGUUGUAAACUGCUUUUGUACGGAACGAAAAGGCUCUGGCUAAUACCUGGGGCUCAUGACGGUACCGUAAGAAUAAGCACCGGCUAACUACGUG
This 484-nucleotide ribosomal RNA is filed under the name uncultured bacterium. RNAcentral's name for it is "partial 16S ribosomal RNA". It matches the Rfam family "Bacterial small subunit ribosomal RNA", at positions 30 to 507 of the family's 1533-position model. The record is from RNAcentral.